This is a non-coding RNA of Peromyscus maniculatus bairdii (prairie deer mouse), 592 nucleotides long. The record is from RefSeq and is a predicted model, not a curated record. NCBI's taxonomy places the organism in Eukaryota, Metazoa, Chordata, Mammalia, Rodentia, Cricetidae.
AAAAAAAAAAAAAAAAAAUUCUUUUUCAAACUAAUUUUCAUAUCUGCAUGGAAAAUUCUAACUUGUUUUACUAUAUCCAACAUUUUAGUUUUAUACCAGGAUGGUAUUGAUUUUUCCAUCUUAUUCUUCAGAAUUCUGAAUGACCUGGCUAUAUUUGAAAAUAAUGCUGAUUCUCAAAAAUAAAAAAAAAAGUUAUUUGCCACCACUAAAUAUAGUCAAAAGAAUUUGUCAUCAAGAUUGAAUGCCAAGAUAUUUCUGGAAUUGGAAUAAAGCCUCCGCAGAGUGAUGACUUUGAAAUAAUCUCAGAGGUAUGCCUUUGAGAUACCAACACAGGGAGAAGUGGCAGUAACAUUUAAGUUGUUUUCUUGGCACACAGCAGAUGAUCCAGUAGCCUCAGAGGUUCUAGCCAGGAAGCUUAAAAUAGACUUGCACAGGGGUGUGAGAUGCUGUCAGCCUGAUGGUUGCUGACUGUCUGGCCUUUGCUAAAAUCAAUCAGAAGAAAGGCUGGUUCUCCACACUUCUGACUCUCUACAGGUCUUCUGGGAACUGAGCAAGUAAUUAGUAACUACAAUAAUCAAUACUUGUUUUCUUA